GCACGAGAAAGCGGGGGCAACUCCGCAAGUACAGUGGCGAACGGGUGAGUAACACGUGACUAACCUGCCCUCGAGUGGGGAAUAACCUCGGGAAACCGGGGCUAAUACCGCAUAACAUCCGCGGGUGAAAGUCCUGCGGAUCAAAGGAGCAAUCCGCUUGAGGAGGGAGUCGCGGCUGAUUAGCUAGUUGGUGAGGUAACGGCCCACCAAGGCGAUGAUCAGUAGCCGGCCUGAGAGGGCGCACGGCCACACUGGAACUGAAACACGGUCCAGACUCCUACGGGAGGCAGCAGUGGGGAAUUUUGCGCAAUGGGGGAAACCCUGACGCAGCAACGCCGCGUGGAGGAUGAAGUCCCUUGGGACGUAAACUCCUUUCGACCGGGACGAAUGAUGACGGUACCGGUGGAAGAAGCCCCGGCUAACUCCGUG
RNAcentral lists this ribosomal RNA (429 nucleotides) under uncultured bacterium. Its description in RNAcentral is "bacterial SSU rRNA". It matches the Rfam family "Bacterial small subunit ribosomal RNA", at positions 64 to 507 of the family's 1533-position model. The record is from RNAcentral.